GACGAACGCUGGCGGCGUGCUUAACACAUGCAAGUCGAGCGGUAAGGCCCUUCGGGGUACACGAGCGGCGAACGGGUGAGUAACACGUGGGUGAUCUGCCUCGCACUUCGGGAUAAGCCUGGGAAACUGGGUCUAAUACCGGAUAUGACUCCUGGUUGCAUGGCUGGGGGUGGAAAGAUUUAUCGGUGUGAGAUGGGCCCGCGGCCUAUCAGCUUGUUGGUGGGGUAAUGGCCUACCAAGGCGACGACGGGUAGCCGGCCUGAGAGGGCGACCGGCCACACUGGGACUGAGACACGGCCCAGACUCCUACGGGAGGCAGCAGUGGGGAAUAUUGCACAAUGGGCGAAAGCCUGAUGCAGCGACGCCGCGUGAGGGAUGACGGCCUUCGGGUUGUAAACCUCUUUCGACAGGGACGAAGCGCAAGUGACGGUACCUGUAGAAGAAGCACCGGCCAACUACGUG
Molecule: ribosomal RNA, 462 nt
Filed under: Nocardia pneumoniae
Lineage: Bacteria; Bacillati; Actinomycetota; Actinomycetes; Mycobacteriales; Nocardiaceae
Description: bacterial SSU rRNA
Rfam family: Bacterial small subunit ribosomal RNA
Source: RNAcentral